Molecule: unclassified non-coding RNA, 352 nt
Filed under: soil metagenome
Description: partial contains 5.8S ribosomal RNA, internal transcribed spacer 2, and large subunit ribosomal RNA
Rfam family: 5.8S ribosomal RNA (bases 1-120)
Source: RNAcentral
GAUGAAGAACGUAGCGAAAUGCGAUAAGUAAUGUGAAUUGCAGAAUUCAGUGAAUCAUCGAAUCUUUGAACGCACAUUGCGCCCGCCAGUAUUCUGGCGGGCAUGCCUGUUCGAGCGUCAUUACAACCCUCAGGCCCCCGGGCCUGGCGUUGGGGAUCGGCGGAAGCCCCCUGUGGGCACACGCCGUCCCUCAAAUACAGUGGCGGUCCCGCCGCAGCUUCCAUUGCGUAGUAGCUAACACCUCGCAACUGGAGAGCGGCGCGGCCAUGCCGUAAAACACACAACUUCUGAAUGUUGACCUCGAAUCAGGUAGGAAUACCCGCUGAACUUAAGCAUAUCAAUAAGCGGAGGA